This is a long non-coding RNA of Triticum aestivum (bread wheat), 849 nucleotides long. RefSeq lists it as uncharacterized. The record is from RefSeq and is a predicted model, not a curated record. NCBI's taxonomy places the organism in Eukaryota, Viridiplantae, Streptophyta, Magnoliopsida, Poales, Poaceae. The transcript is spliced from 2 exons.
ACAAAACAAAACAAAACGAAAAAAUCGAUGGCGAACCCCCCUUCCACCCCACUCCUCUUAUAUUCCUCCCACCCAACCCCGCCGUCGGCGACCUCCUCUUUCCCCACCACCGGUGCCCUCUCCCCUCCCCUCCCAGAUCGACUAGACCAGAUCCGGCCAGGCUCUCCAUCCCUCCUCGCGCCUGAAACACUAGAAGCCCCUAUUUUUCCUACCCAAACGCCGCCGCACUCCGUCGACUCCCCAAUCCCUGCCGGUGACCUCUACCCACGCUCUCCUCUGCCCCUCACUUUCCCUCCAAAGGGAAGGCCCCAUACCGGCCGGAUCCACCACGCCCACAGUGGGGCUUCCGGAUCCGACGCCCGCAACCAGAGGAGGAGUGCCUUACGGAUCCCAUCUGCUCUCUUCCACAAUUCCACCCAUGGAGGUGUUCUUCUUCAUCUCCAUACCUGAUUCGUGAGAUUUUUUUUGUGUGUGCAGGUUGCUCUGAUCCGAUCUGGUCAAGGGGGCCGUGGAGAAGCUGCUCCCAUCGGCCAGCCAAGGAGAAGCUGCUCAACAUCACCACCACCUGCUCCAAUUAAUCCGCCUGUAACGUAACCCGAGGAUAAUGAGAUGUUGAAGCGGCAGAGUGAAUCCAUGAGACUGUAGUGCAAUUGCACCGUUCCAUUAAAUAUUACUCAGGAAUAAGGACAUUUCAAUGGCAGAUUAGCUCUAUUUUUCCUUUUCAUUUUUCUUACUAUUGGAGUGAGGACAUGUAGAAUGAGAAACUGUGUGGUAGCAGAUAUGGCAACUGUGUGAUAGUAGAAUCAGGAAUAAGGAAUAUGGCAACUGUGUGAUAGUGACAUUUUUCCA